This 942-nucleotide ribosomal RNA is filed under the name uncultured Myxococcales bacterium. Its description in RNAcentral is "bacterial SSU rRNA". It matches the Rfam family "Bacterial small subunit ribosomal RNA", at positions 329 to 1232 of the family's 1533-position model. The record is from RNAcentral. Lineage: Bacteria; Pseudomonadati; Myxococcota; Myxococcia; Myxococcales.
GGGCCGAUUCCACGGGAGGAGCCAGUGGGGAUGGGAAAAUGGGCCAUGCCUGACCCAGCCACGCCGAGGGAUGGAAGGCCUUCGGGGUUUGUAAAGCCUCUGUGGGGAGGGGGCGAAAGGGCAGAAGUGCUAAUAGUACUCUGUUUGACGGUACCUCCUCCUUAGCAAGCCACCGGCUAACUCUGUGCCAGCAGCCGCGCGGGAAGACAGAGGGUGCAAACGUUGCUCGGAAUUACUGGGCGUAAAGCCGCGUGUAGGCGGGGAAGAUAAAGUCGGGUGUGAAAUCCCUGGGCUCAACCUAGGAACUGCAUCCGAAACUGCCUUUCUGGAGUGAUGGAGAGGAAAAGCGGAAUUCCCGGUGUAGAGGUGAAAUUCGUAGAUAUCGGGAGGAACACCAGUGGCGAAGGCGGCUUUCUGGCCAUCAACUGACGCUGAGACGCGAAAGCGUGGGGAGCAAACAGGAUUAGAUACCCUGGUAGUCCACGCUGUAAACGAUGAGUGCUAGGUGUUGUGGGUAUUGACCCCCGCGGUGCCGUAGCUAACGCGUUAAGCACUCCGCCUGGGGAGUACCGGCCGCAAGGCUAAAACUCAAAGGAAUUGACGGGGGCCCGCACAAGGCGGUGGAGCAUGUGGUUUAAUUUCCGACGCAACGCGCAGAAACCUUACCAGGGCUAGAAAAGGUAGGAACCCGGAUGAAAGUCUGGGGGUGCCCCGCAAGGGAAUCUACAUCCAGGUGCUGCAUGGCUUGUCGUCAGCCUCGUGUCGUGAGAUUGUUGGGUUAAAACGUCCCGGCAACGAGCCGCAACCCCCUGUUCUUUAGUUUGCCAUCAUUAAGUUGGGCACUCCUAAGGAGACUCCCGGCGUCAAGCCGGAGGAAGGUGGGGAAUGACGUCAAGUCCUCAUGGGGCCCAAGAUGUCCUGGGCUACACACGUACUACGAAU